This is a long non-coding RNA of Oreochromis niloticus (Nile tilapia), 609 nucleotides long. RefSeq lists it as uncharacterized. NCBI's taxonomy places the organism in Eukaryota, Metazoa, Chordata, Actinopteri, Cichliformes, Cichlidae. The record is from RefSeq and is a predicted model, not a curated record. The transcript is spliced from 5 exons.
CAUGAAGUACUGGCAUGCAGCAUGUUAGCUGUGAAAUCUCCAGAAAUGGUAAUGACCCAAGUUUUGGAUCCAGUAGUAGAAUCUCUGAAUGACAAGCAUCUGCCAGAUCGUCUGCUUCUGCUGAUGCUUCCUGCAAGCAUUUGUUUGGAAAAAAAGGAAGCACUCGUACUCCAGUGGCUUUGAAAGUACUUUUACCCUUGUUGCCACUCUAGCUGAUGCAGUAAACGGACACACGAGAACGCCUGCUGUGAGGAACCACAGAAGUUCUGAUAAAAAAAUCAUGUGAUACACCCCGAGGAGGCUCUAUCAAGAUUUGAGGACACCAAAGACUGUAUUCAGUCUCCAUCAGCUAAAGAAACCAGAAAAGAUCCUUCAACAGAAGAUUUCAGACAGCUCAAGAGUAAGGAGAGAUGCGGCAGAAGGUACAGAAAACUGUUCCAGCUACCUAUCAGGAAGUAGACGUCCAACCACGUAAGAGAAGGCUUGUGAGGCUUCAUAUUUAUCCUGGUUGCAAAUACUAGAGACUGUUUUUUACCUGAUGUAUAGAUGUGACAUGCUGACCUAAAAGUGAUACGGCAUUUACCAGUGUCUGAUGUUUAUCUGUCAUGC